AUACGGAGGGGGCAAGCGUUAUUCGGAAUUAUUGGGCGUAAAGGGCGCGCAGGCGGCCUGGCAAGUCAAAGGUGAAAUCCCUCGGCCCAACCGAGAAACUGCCUUUGAAACUGCCUGGCUUGAGGCCGGGAGAGGGUAGUGGAAUUCCCAGUGUAGCGGUGAAAUGCGUAGAUAUUGGGAGGAACACCAGUGGCGAAGGCGACUACCUGGACCGGUUCUGACGCUGAGGCGCGAAAGCGUGGGGAGCAAACAGGAUUAGAUACCCGAGUAGUCC
This 274-nucleotide ribosomal RNA is filed under the name uncultured bacterium. RNAcentral describes it as "partial 16S ribosomal RNA". It matches the Rfam family "Bacterial small subunit ribosomal RNA", at positions 523 to 796 of the family's 1533-position model. The record is from RNAcentral.